This is a long non-coding RNA of Arachis duranensis, 308 nucleotides long. RefSeq lists it as uncharacterized. The record is from RefSeq and is a predicted model, not a curated record. NCBI's taxonomy places the organism in Eukaryota, Viridiplantae, Streptophyta, Magnoliopsida, Fabales, Fabaceae. The transcript has 3 exons.
AAUAGAUACCUUAUAUAUGCAUCAGCAACAGAAAGAGUGAUUUUUAUUUUAUUUACUUUUUAUCUUUUGGUAAACAGGACGUAUUUGCGGCAGCAACGCUGGUUAAUAUGUCAAGUACUUUAGAGGGGUAAUAUGAUUUGCCUCUAAAAGCAUGUGUUUGGGAUAUCAAUACAUCAAUGAUGAGAACAUCAACAUCAUUUUUCGUUAAAUCUGUCUUGUAACAUCGAUAUGCUUCAGCCCUAACUUGACAAUGUGCGUUAAUUUCUGAUUCUGCUGCUCUGUCUGCUCGGAGUUGCUUUUUGGAAUAA